CCUACGGGUGGCUGCAGUGGGGAAUAUUGGACAAUGGGGGCAACCCUGAUCCAGCCAUGCCGCGUGUGUGAAGAAGGCCCUCGGGUUGUAAAGCACUUUCAGUGAGGAAGAACGCCUGGUGGUUAAUACCCAUCAGGAAAGACAUCACUCACAGAAGAAGCACCGGCUAACUCCGUGCCAGCAGCCGCGGUAAUACGGAGGGUGCGAGCGUUAAUCGGAAUUACUGGGCGUAAAGCGCGCGUAGGUGGCUUGAUAAGCCGGUUGUGAAAGCCCCGGGCUCAACCUGGGAACGGCAUCCGGAACUGUCAAGCUAGAGUGCAGGAGAGGAAGGUAGAAUUCCCGGUGUAGCGGUGAAAUGCGUAGAGAUCGGGAGGAAUACCAGUGGUGAAGGCGGCCUUCUGGACUGACACUGACACUGAGGUGCGAAAGCGUGGGUAGCAAACAGGAUUAGAUACCCUAGUAGUC
Molecule: ribosomal RNA, 465 nt
Filed under: Vreelandella stevensii
Lineage: Bacteria; Pseudomonadati; Pseudomonadota; Gammaproteobacteria; Oceanospirillales; Halomonadaceae
Description: partial 16S ribosomal RNA
Rfam family: Bacterial small subunit ribosomal RNA
Source: RNAcentral